AUUGAACGCUGGCGGCAGGCCUAACACAUGCAAGUCGAGCGGAUGAAGGGAGCUUGCUCCUGGAUUCAGCGGCGGACGGGUGAGUAAUGCCUAGGAAUCUGCCUGGUAGUGGGGGAUAACGUCCGGAAACGGGCGCUAAUACCGCAUACGUCCUGAGGGAGAAAGUGGGGGAUCUUCGGACCUCACGCUAUCAGAUGAGCCUAGGUCGGAUUAGCUAGUUGGUGGGGUAAAGGCCUACCAAGGCGACGAUCCGUAACUGGUCUGAGAGGAUGAUCAGUCAAACUGGAACUGAGACACGGUCCAGACUACUACGGGAGGCAGCAGUGGGGAAUAUUGGACAAUGGGCGAAAGCAUGAUCCAGCAAUGCCGCGUGUGUGAAGAAGGUCUUCGGAUUGUAAAGCACUUUAAGUUGGGAGGAAGGGCAGUAAGUUAAUACCUUGCUGUUUUGACGUUACCAACAGAAUAAGCACCGGCUAACUUCGUG
RNAcentral lists this ribosomal RNA (484 nucleotides) under uncultured bacterium. RNAcentral describes it as "partial 16S ribosomal RNA". It matches the Rfam family "Bacterial small subunit ribosomal RNA", at positions 30 to 507 of the family's 1533-position model. The record is from RNAcentral.